Molecule: long non-coding RNA, 947 nt
Filed under: Bos grunniens (domestic yak)
Lineage: Eukaryota; Metazoa; Chordata; Mammalia; Artiodactyla; Bovidae
Description: lncRNA (ENSBGRG00000012054.1)
Source: RNAcentral
GGUGGCUUCAGGGCCCUUUGGGAGCCUGCCCUUUGUCCGGGGCUGUGGCCUUGGUAUGCGCCCAGCCUGGUCUCUGCUGCCAGACACCGUGUUCAUUGGUAGAAUGUGGAACUGGUCAGAUGGUGAUCCCUAAGGCCACCUCACCUGACCUUCCACCCCAGUUAUCGGUCCGUUUGACCUGAGACUCAGGAUGAAAUGAUUGAACUGCUGGCUGUGGUAUGUGCAGGUAACAUUUACACUCCCAUCUGCAAGCUGUCGUGCAGACUUGGAGGGGAAGCCACCCAGGCACAGAGCAGGGCAUCUGUAUUCUUCAUCCAUAUGAAGAAGCGAGGAAGUGUGAAGGUUAAUUUUCUUGAGCAGCCAUGCCAACGUUGUGCAGGCAUCACAGAGGGUUUGAGGAUUUAGAAAUCGUUGUAAGUCCAUGUUUAUUUUAAUCUAUAAUAGUCAGAGUUUUCAUUGGCUUUGAUUCUAAUUUAUUUAACCUUCAUCUUUCUAGAAUGAAUAAUCACUUUAAAAACCAUUUUCUACUGAAAAGAGGCACUGCAUGGCCCCUCUCCUCAGCUCUGCCUGGCUCCAUCAUUCCAGUUAUCUUUAAUUGUACCUUGCUCUCUGAUGUCUACUUGCAGUCUUAGGCCAGCUAACAAAUGUCACUGCUCUGGGCCAUUGAUCGAGGUAAUGGUUUCCAAAUGUUUACUCCUUUAAACUUUAUCUCAUCUCUCUCAGGCUUUAAGGUUUGACCCUAAUAUAAAUUUCCUAAGAAUUUGAAAAUCAGUUCAUGCCCAUCCUCCCAGUUUUAAAUUUUAAAAAUCACAUCCUUAUUUCUUGUGUGUUUUUAAAUUUAAUUAAAAAUUUUUAUUAGAGGAUAAUUGCUUUACAAUGUUGUGGAGGUCUCUGAUGUACAUCAGUGCAAAUCAAUUAUCAUCAUAUUUAUAUGCCCUUCCCUCUUA